RNAcentral lists this ribosomal RNA (1039 nucleotides) under uncultured Acinetobacter sp. Its description in RNAcentral is "bacterial SSU rRNA". It matches the Rfam family "Bacterial small subunit ribosomal RNA", at positions 1 to 1027 of the family's 1533-position model. Lineage: Bacteria; Pseudomonadati; Pseudomonadota; Gammaproteobacteria; Moraxellales; Moraxellaceae. The record is from RNAcentral.
AUUCGUAGUGAUUGUAUGAGUUUGAUCAUGGCUCAGAUUGAACGCUGGCGGCAGGCUUAACACAUGCAAGUCGAGCGGGCGAGGUUGCUUCGGUAACUGAGCUAGCGGCGGACGGGUGAGUAAUGCUUAGGAAUCUGCCUAUUAGUGGGGGACAACAUUCCGAAAGGGAUGCUAAUACCGCAUACGUCCUACGGGAGAAAGCAGGGGAUCUUUAUGACCUUGCGCUAAUAGAUGAGCCUAAGUCGGAUUAGCUAGUUGGUGGGGUAAAGGCCUACCAAGGCGACGAUCUGUAGCGGGUCUGAGAGGAUGAUCCGCCACACUGGGACUGAGACACGGCCCAGACUCCUACGGGAGGCAGCAGUGGGGAAUAUUGGACAAUGGGGGGAACCCUGAUCCAGCCAUGCCGCGUGUGUGAAGAAGGCCUUUUGGUUGUAAAGCACUUUAAGCGAGGAGGAGGCUCUCUUGGUUAAUACCUAAGAAGAGUGGACGUUACUCGCAGAAUAAGCACCGGCUAACUCUGUGCCAGCAGCCGCGGUAAUACAGAGGGUGCGAGCGUUAAUCGGAUUUACUGGGCGUAAAGCGCGCGUAGGUGGUUAAUUAAGUCAAAUGUGAAAUCCCCGAGCUUAACUUGGGAAUUGCAUUCGAUACUGGUUGGCUAGAGUAUGGGAGAGGAUGGUAGAAUUCCAGGUGUAGCGGUGAAAUGCGUAGAGAUCUGGAGGAAUACCGAUGGCGAAGGCAGCCAUCUGGCCUAAUACUGACACUGAGGUGCGAAAGCAUGGGGAGCAAACAGGAUUAGAUACCCUGGUAGUCCAUGCCGUAAACGAUGUCUACUAGCCGUUGGGGGAUUUGAUCCUUUAGUGGCGCAGCUAACGCGAUAAGUAGACCGCCUGGGGAGUACGGUCGCAAGACUAAAACUCAAAUGAAUUGACGGGGGCCCGCACAAGCGGUGGAGCAUGUGGUUUAAUUCGAUGCAACGCGAAGACCUUACCUGGCCUUGACAUAGUAGAGACUUUCCAGAGAUGGAUGGUGCCUUCGGGAU